AAAAAAGCAUAUAAUAUUUUUUAUAAUAUUAAAAAAAUAUUAAUUACGGAUAAUACCAAAUAAGUUAUAAGUUAUAGUUAUUUAGCAUUUCACAUUUAAAAUAUAUGAUUUUAAUUAAAAUUUAAGAUGUUACGGAAAAUAUGAUAAUUUGUAUGUGUUUUUGCAUGUGAAAAAACUUUACUUUUUUUGUUAAGUUAAUAAAUUU
This 205-nucleotide unclassified non-coding RNA is filed under the name Hevea brasiliensis (rubber tree). Lineage: Eukaryota; Viridiplantae; Streptophyta; Magnoliopsida; Malpighiales; Euphorbiaceae. The record is from RNAcentral.